Molecule: ribosomal RNA, 447 nt
Filed under: uncultured bacterium
Lineage: Bacteria
Description: bacterial SSU rRNA
Rfam family: Bacterial small subunit ribosomal RNA
Source: RNAcentral
GUCCAGACUCCUACGGGAGGCAGCAGUGGGGGAUAUUGCACAAUGGGGGGAACCCUGAUGCAGCGACGCCGCGUGGGUGAAGGAGUGCUUCGGCAUGUAAAGCCCUAUCGGCAGGGAAGAAGCAAGACGGUACCUGACUAAGAAGCCCCGGCUAACUACGUGCCAGCAGCCGCGGUAAUACGUAGGGGGCAAGCGUUAUCCGGAUUUACUGGGUGUAAAGGGAGCGUAGACGGCGAUGCAAGCCAGAUGUGAAAGCCCGGGGCUCAACCCCGGGACUGCAUUUGGAACUGUGUGGCUGGAGUGUCGGAGAGGCAGGCGGAAUUCCUAGUGUAGCGGUGAAAUGCGUAGAUAUUAGGAGGAACACCAGUGGCGAAGGCGGCCUGCUGGACGAUGACUGACGUUGAAGCUCGAAAGCGUGGGGAGCAAACAGGAUUAGAUACCCGAGUA